Molecule: unclassified non-coding RNA, 4595 nt
Filed under: Hevea brasiliensis (rubber tree)
Lineage: Eukaryota; Viridiplantae; Streptophyta; Magnoliopsida; Malpighiales; Euphorbiaceae
Source: RNAcentral
AGGGAGAGGUUGAUAAUUGUAAGCCGAAUUUUGGUUAACUAGAUAAAAUUGGAGGCCAGUUUCUGUCAAUUUGAUAAAAUUGCAACAAAUAUGCUAAAAUUGGCCUAAAUUGCCCAAAUUAAAACAAUUUGAUUAAAUUGCAGUUUUGUUAAAAGGUCUUUUUUUUUUUUUAAACACUAGGCCAUUUUUAUACAUUAUUUAAUUCCAAGAGAGCUUAAUUGUACAAAAAUAAAAAUACUGUAUCCAAUUGAACAAAAUAAAUUAUUAAAUACACAUUUGACAUAAUGCAGGUGCCUCCAAAUGCAUCACCAUGGUCGUGCUCAUGAUCAUCACCAUGAUCCUAUAUACAUAAAAUCCCUUGCUCUAACUGUCUGUGUAAUACUGAUUGUAGUUGAGAUAACCCCAGAAACAAGAAAGCCCAAACUUUCCAUGUCUAGGUGACUUGAGGUAACAUAGAUGCAAUUCUUUCAGAUUUUUGUUGAACUUCUGCUUUAUGGAAAGCACCUGGGACAUGUUGAUUCUAGAAAGUUUACCCAGCGAGUCUUCUUGAUACAGUCCCACAUCCCAAAUGCUGGUGGUAAGACAAGACCGAAGGUCCAAGGCACACUGCAAAAUGCUUUCUAUGAUGCUGGCUACAGACCGUGUUUCAUCGGAUAGAAAACAUAUGUUUAGCGAAUCAGUUAGAUAUUCCAUGUGUACUAACUCCAGAUCCAUCAUGUCUUUGACCUUGUACUUUAGGUUGUGAAGAAACCUGCACCAAGAUAUGUGAGACAAUUGUGACUGCACAUACUGUUGUAAGGUAGAGAUAAAAUGAUUGACCUGGUGCCUCAUCUUUAUCAACAUAUUAAAUUGGUUCACUUCCCUUUCAUGUGCUGCAGAGCGACUCCUUUUACUAAUAAAGUGAAUCAAAUCCUUUAAUGAGGACCAUACAUCAGUCAAAGAGAAAACCGCAAGCUUCACUUGAAUCAAAAAAUUGAAUAUAUCAGCAUAAAUUUUCAAUGCACUGGGAGUCAAAACUAUACUGACUGGCCAAUCCACUCGAUAACCCAAACCCAAAAAAUCGAAGGAAUGGACUCCAAUUGCAGAUGUUGAAAGAGGCAUUACGGAAUUUCCCUUUAUAUACACAAACAACCGAUCCUUAUUAGGGUCUCGUUCACAUGAAGACCUCUGAACUGACAACUCGAGGAACCCUUGAAUCACAGAAACUCUCUGAUCUGCCUCCAAAGCACACCAUUUCUGUUGUUUCAAGUGAAAAUGGAACGGAUUUAAAAAGAAUUAAGACAAUUUCCACAAAUAACACAUUAAAGUGAUUAACAAGAAGUACAUGAUGCCAAAGGGACAUGAUAAACAAAUCUGUCCAAUCUGCUACUUCCAUAAAAUAGUACCGUCGCAGUGCCAGUAAAUGUUCAUAUAAAUCAAACCCUUCAAGCAGCUUGAUGGAUAACUUACUAACAUAUUUGUACCUAGGCAUUGUCAAGGGAAUAAAUAACUUUGAACAUGAUUAAUAUGCCAGAAGUACCAUAUUGAGCACAAUAGCAAUUAUUUUCGUAAGUAUGCUUUGAAACAGAGAAGAAUGAUGAGAAUAAGAGUUAAUCAAGGAAUAAGAGAGAACCACAAAUCCAUGAUGUCAGAAAUAUGCAUAAUGCAUUUUGAUUCAAAAUAUCAGAGAAUUUCCGUAACCCCUGUGUUUCAGUAAAAUUAUUCAUGAAAAGAAAACUAUCACUUCCAAAAAGAAACUUCCUUGAGAUUUCAAUCCUUGACACUUUCUCAAUUAACAAAGGAUUCCUGAUUUCUCCAGAAGAGUGGAACAAAAUUUCUUGCAGCAGGCAUUUGUCAAUAAUGAUAUCAAGUGGAAUCUCAAACAUGGCCAACAAACCCUCCUUGUGCUGUCCAGCACUUUCCUUUUCAGUGAAACUAUAAUUACUAAGAAGACUCUCCCAAUUCCUCCCACCUAGAAGAUUUGUUGUAAUAUGACCUUCUUGGUCUUGUUUCUUUGAGUCUAAGGGUGAGCAAGGACAAGACAUUCUGGCAUUAUCAAUCAAAAAACUAUCUCCACCAUAGCCUUGUUUAUCUUUGUCAUGACUCUUACCAGUGGGAUCAGGGGAAGGAAGCUGAGACUCAAAUUCUUGUCCUGAACUGCCAGCUAGCUUCUCCACAGAUACAUUGCAAGGGACUUCUACAGUUGAAAAGUCAAAGCAAGGUAAUGACCGUCCAUACACUGUGCUGCAUUUCUUUCCAGGUUUGUUCGUAAGGUGAAAGAAUGCAUUUUUUCUCAGCAUUGGGUUUCUACUGAAAAAACUGCUGUGGUAAUUAUCCUUCCACGGCUGCAAUGCAGAUGAAUUUGAAGUAUGAAAGCCAUUUGCAAUUUGAUCCUCACCCAAGGACUCUAUUGAAACAUCCAUCGUAGAAGUCAUUUUGCUAAAAUAUGGUAGACCUUCAUUUAUGGAUUCCAUAUCUUCUUUAUUCACUUCUAGGGCCGAGUUCCAUUGGUGUAACCUCCAGUAAGAUCUAUACCCUUCAUCAUCACAAAAUAAAAUAUUUGGAAAGUCAAUUGACCAGCAUUUAUUUGUUAACCAAUCUGUAUAUUGACUAUCAGACAUCCUCGGCAAGUUUGACUCCCUCAAACCUGGUGGCACAAACAUGUGACUGAAAGUUUUUUUAUUAUGAUAGGAUUGCACAAAGUAGCUAAGAGCAUAAUUCUUUAAACAAUCUUGAGGCAAAUUGCUUUCUAAAUCACGAGACAUUUCACUUCGAGGAUUCUUUUGCAAUGUAUUGUCAAUGGGGAUACUCAUGGAAAACCUUAAUGAAGAUAAAUAUCUUUGUUCCUGCCCUACCAAGCUAUUAGGAUGCUCAGACAGUUGCUCAGCAUCAACAUGCUCUUCAGAACCACUUAAAGACGAACACUCAGACACAUCAGAUGUAUCCGACCAAUAGAAUUCAUCUCUUGUAUUAGAGUGACUAGAACCUGUUUGAUCAGCAGCCACAUUUGAGCUGCAUUUGUUAGCUGUUGAAGGGACAAUCAACCCAUCAUUCAAAGUGAAUGAAACUUCACUCUUUAAACUCCCUCCACUGCUGUCAACAAAGAUAGGCAUAGCACCAUGUGGAACUACCUGCUGAUAUCUAAACUCCAACUUUGUCAACAGAUUUUCAAGUUUUUCCAACAAUUUUCUGUAAUGGUUGUUCCUUGCAGUUACCAUAGCUUCUAAAUGUCCUUUGCUGAAAGUCAUUGGAGAUGCACAAAACAAAUCAUCACUUAAAUAUCCACUGCAAAUGGGAAGAAAAUCCUCGUAAGUAUAGUCACCAGGGCCACCAUAAUUGCAUAAUUCAAGCAACUUCUUUAGUACUUGAAGCUGCUGACCAGCCCUUAUAACUGGAAUCAGAAAGUCCUUCAGAAAGCAAGGAACAGCAACUCCAUCCCUAACACUUGCUGAUGGGAAAUCAAAAGGGACGCCAGCAUUACAAUGUAGAUCAGGCGGUGGAUUAUCGAUGCGUUCUACUAUGAACUCCUUAUAUGGAUCACUAGUCUCAGCCCUAAAUAUCCAUGAUCUUAUAAAUUCGCAAUAUGGUUCGCAUGAGCGAAGAAAGAGGAACUCGAGUAGAGCAUGGUGAGCAGGAUCAGCAACCUUUAGUUGCGUAUAUAAGUAUGUAAGAAGAUAUCCUCCUCUGUAGAAGUUAGAAAACUCCAAGACCGCUUUAGCAGUUAACUCCUCUAGAGAAAUCACUGAGAAGGAAAGUGCUAUAUUAUACAGGUUACAUAUGUUUCCAAGAGCUUCAAUCCGAGUCCUCAAUUCCUUUGUGUGCAUAUACACCUCCAAUAGCGUAACUUUAGAAUGCACUAUGCUUGUGAGGCAUGCUUCCUCAUAAGACUCUUGCAAAGCCACAUCAACAAUUUUUGACGAACGCCUCAAUCUUGCCGAUGCAUAUACUGUAUUCAGAGAGCAUAUGUACCCAUCUAAUACCUUUCCUACAGCUACAGCAAAUGCCUGAUUAACUAGACUGUAAGAAAGAUGCUCUUGCUUUUGCACAUUACUGUCAUUUUGGCUUUCACAUACUGAUUCAGAAUGUUCAUACCCAUUUCCUGAUGAACGCACAUCCACAUUCAUAUACAUAAAAUUAUCUACAAAUUUACGGAGAAGAAAUACCAGAGAACCCAAGCAGCCUAUGGAAUUGAGAAUCUUUCCCAAUGCAUGAGUGCUUGAAGACCGGUUCCAUAGACUAGGAAUUUGAUGGUAGGACCUAUCAGCAGGAUCAGAACAAAAUGCAGCAGAAAGCUUUUCGAUACUAAGAAGAGCUGAUUGCAUCCCUUGCAGUGCGUUCAACGCUAAUCUCACUAAACUUGCCUCGGAGACGGAGGAUGGCCGAUGUAGUGGCGGUUGUGGAGGAGAGGAAUUUGGAGGAAGAGAAGAGGAGAGACGAGCGCCAUUUUGAGAAGGAAUGGACUCCCAAGUUGUAGGAGGAAGCCAUGGAUCUUCGACCUUCAGAUUGUCCAACAAGGAAGCAAAGUUGGCGUCCACUGCCAUUUUCGCUUUGAAUUGAUGUAGCACUACUUGCACUAGCAACUGUAGUUUCCCGCAGCCAUGGAUUUUUUUUUUUUU